This 465-nucleotide ribosomal RNA is filed under the name uncultured Klebsiella sp. Its description in RNAcentral is "bacterial SSU rRNA". It matches the Rfam family "Bacterial small subunit ribosomal RNA", at positions 338 to 795 of the family's 1533-position model. Lineage: Bacteria; Pseudomonadati; Pseudomonadota; Gammaproteobacteria; Enterobacterales; Enterobacteriaceae. The record is from RNAcentral.
CCUACGGGAGGCAGCAGUGGGGAAUAUUGCACAAUGGGCGCAAGCCUGAUGCAGCCAUGCCGCGUGUGUGAAGAAGGCCUUCGGGUUGUAAAGCACUUUCAGCGGGGAGGAAGGCGGUGAGGUUAAUAACCUCAUCGAUUGACGUUACCCGCAGAAGAAGCACCGGCUAACUCCGUGCCAGCAGCCGCGGUAAUACGGAGGGUGCAAGCGUUAAUCGGAAUUACUGGGCGUAAAGCGCACGCAGGCGGUCUGUCAAGUCGGAUGUGAAAUCCCCGGGCUCAACCUGGGAACUGCAUUCGAAACUGGCAGGCUAGAGUCUUGUAGAGGGGGGGUAGAAUUCCAGGUGUAGCGGUGAAAUGCGUAGAGAUCUGGAGGAAUACCGGUGGCGAAGGCGGCCCCUGGACAAAGACUGACGCUCAGGUGCGAAAGCGUGGGGAGCAAACAGGAUUAGAUACCCGUGUAGUC